AAUACGGGGCAUAUGUCUUGUAAUUGGAAUGAUGCCGACUUAAACCCUCGGCAGAGUACCAAUUGGAGGGCAAGUCUGGUGCCAGCAGCCGCGGUAAUUCCAGCUCCAAUAGCGUAUAUUAAACUUGUUGCAGUUAAAAAGCUCGUAGUUGAAUUUGAGCUUGCGCGAUUCCGUUAUUGGAGUAUUGCGCUUGCUUUUUUGUUACUUUGAGAAAAUUAGAGUGUUUCAAGCAGACUUUUGUCUUGAAUACUUCAGCAUGGAAUAAUAGAGUAGGACCUUGGUUCUAUUUUGUUGGUUUUUGAGCCUUGGUAAUGGUUAAUAGGAACGGUUGGGGGCAUUCGUAUUUAA
RNAcentral lists this ribosomal RNA (348 nucleotides) under Babesia motasi. RNAcentral describes it as "SSU rRNA". It matches the Rfam family "Eukaryotic small subunit ribosomal RNA", at positions 482 to 901 of the family's 1831-position model. The record is from RNAcentral. Lineage: Eukaryota; Apicomplexa; Aconoidasida; Piroplasmida; Babesiidae.